AUUCCAGCUCCAAUAGCGUAUAUUAGAGUUGUUGCAGUUAAAAAGCUCGUAGUUGGAUUUCUGUCAAUGUGUUCCGGUACCGCCUGUAUAGGUGUGCACUUGGAUUAUCAUUGGCAUUCUUCCGUUCUUAUAUCGGCUCUUUAUUGCGUCGAUAUAGGUUAUCGGAACUUUUACUUUGAGAAAAAUAGAGUGUUUCAAGCAGGCUUGUCGCCUUGAAUACUGCAGCAUGGAAUAAUAAGAUAGGACCUUGGUUCUAUUUUGUUGGUUUCUAGGACUAAGGUAAUGAUUAAUAGGGACAGUUGGGGGCAUUCGUAUUUAACUGUCAGAGGUGAAAUUCUUAGAUUUGUUAAAGACGAACUACUGCGAAAGCAUUUGCCAAGGAUGUUUUCAUCG
RNAcentral lists this ribosomal RNA (393 nucleotides) under Eimeria sp. RNAcentral describes it as "partial small subunit ribosomal RNA". It matches the Rfam family "Eukaryotic small subunit ribosomal RNA", at positions 582 to 975 of the family's 1831-position model. Lineage: Eukaryota; Apicomplexa; Conoidasida; Eucoccidiorida; Eimeriidae. The record is from RNAcentral.